This 3235-nucleotide long non-coding RNA is filed under the name Canis lupus familiaris (dog). RNAcentral's name for it is "lncRNA (ENSCAFG00000051245.1)". The record is from RNAcentral. Lineage: Eukaryota; Metazoa; Chordata; Mammalia; Carnivora; Canidae.
UACCAAUGAAUCAAAACAAUUUAUUGUUCAUGUAUUCUUUCACAGGAAGCUGUUGGAAGAGGUACACCACCAAAAUGAGGGAAUAAACUCAUUUAAGACAGAAGAUUCAGGAAACUGGAAUACUCAACAUGAGAGAGGUGAAGAGCAACAAACCCAGAUUAUUAUAGCAGAGAUUUCCAGGAGACAAUGUCUUUAGAGGGGAAAAAAAAUUUAGAUUACAUGAUGUCUUUGAACCCACUAAGAGACUUCUAUUCCUGGAGGACAGUUAGGGUCUAAGUUAAUGUGUGCUACACAGAACACUGAGCAAAUGAAACAGUAAAGCAAUUACAUUAUUAACUCCAAAAAACUUAAAACAGGAAUUGGACACCCCCCAAAAAAAUGUAAUUACAGAUACCACACAACCCAGUUGUGAAUAGUAUUUACAUAGUCAAAAUAGUAUAAAUAUUGAAUGUUAUCCAAAAGUGUGAUGUGAUUGCACUGUACUGGGAUGAUGGAGAAGGAAGCUAUGUGUUUAGGGAAGAGGCAAAAGGAAUACAUCUUCAUCUUCAUCUCCAAGAUAGAUCAAUAAAGCCUAAAAGUGAAAUAUCAAGAAAUAGCCUAAUAAUCAUGUUACUUAGAAUCAUGUUAUAGAGAUAAGUCAUAUUACAGAGAUAAAUAGAAAAAUCACUAAAAGAUUUGAAAGUGGUUAUCUCUUUAGCAAGAGCAGGGAAAGAGAUGCCUGGGUGGCUCAGCCAUUGAACACCUGCCUUUGGCUCAGGGCCUGAUCCUGGAUUCCUGGGAUCAAGUCCCACAUCGGACUCCUUGCAAGAAGCCUGCUUCUCCUCUCUCUGCCUGUGUCUCUGCCUCUCUUUUUGUGUCUCUCAUGAAUACAUAAAAUCUUUAAAAAAUAAAAGGAACAGAGGAGAGUUCUGUUUUUCAUUUUAAGUCUUGGGGGAAAAACUUUAUUAACUUAAAAUUAUUUACUUAUUAUCAUGAAAUUAAAUAAAACAAUAAAUGAAAGAUAAGUUACAUUUAUGGGCUAAUGCAAAUAAUUCUAUACAGUAUACUUACCAAAUGAUCCUGACAAUAAAGACUCUAACAGGCAAAACUCAAAAACUGGAUUGUAGUUCAUAUCCAGCAACACUGGAGUACAAAAAAAUGAUUAAACAGACUACUUCAUUUUUGAAUCAGGGGAAAGGGGAAGGGGAAGAGGUAAGAAAUAAGCUUACCAAAUUGUAUAGUAUUCCAUAGUAAAAUCACAGAGUAUUAUAGUAGAAAGAAAUCUUCUAUAUUGGCUAACAAUUUAUUUCCCUCAUUUUACAGUUACUUGUCCAGGGUUACACAGAUGGUUUGUGCAGAAUCAGACCCUCUGCUCUUUUUUUUUUUUUUUAUUUAAAUUUAUUUAUUUAUGAUAGUAACAGAGGGAGAGAGAGAGGCAGAGACACAGGCAGAGAGAAGCAGGCUCCAUGCACCGAGAGCCCGACGUGGGAUUCGAUCCCGGGUCUCCAGGAUCGCGCCCUGGGCCAAAGGCAGGCGCCAAACCGCUGCGCCACCCAGGGAUCCCAAAGGAUAAUCUUUCAACAGACCCUCUGCUCUUAACUCUCACAUGCUUUUCAUUUCAUCACAAUGCAUUUUUAAAUAAUGAUUAUGAAAUAAAUAUAUUUGCGUUCCUAGUGACAUAUUCAUUAGUACUUUUUUUGUUUUAAAAACGGAGUCUACUUGAAAGAAAAUAUAUAGAGAGAGGUGAUUGUAGAUCCAACAAAGGUAUCACAUAGCCAGGCUACAUAUGUCAUUAUGCCUUGUUUCAUUGACUGGAAAUGUUCAAGAAAGGCAUUUGAUAGGGAGAAGAGUAACAUUAGAACAAGCAAAUAGGGGCACUGGGUGGCUCAGUGGUUGAGCAUCUGCCUUUGGCUCGGGGCGUGAUCCCCAGGUCCUGGGAUUGAGUCCCACAUCAGGCUCCCCCAGGGAGCCUACUUCUCCCUCUAUGUCUCUGCCUCUCUCUGUGUCCCUCAUGAAUAAAUAAAUAAAAUCUUAAAAAAAAAAAAAUAACUUGCCCCUCACCACACACACACAAAAAAGUAAAAACCUAAGUUUUAAGUUAAAGCACAUUGGUGUUUUACUUAAGCAUUAAACAAGUACAAUAAAGGAAAAAUAUCUGUAACUGAACUCUUUUCCUACUUCUCAUAGGAUGGAAUGGAAGGAACUGAGAAUUUUUGAAAUUUUUAGGCUGUCAACUUUAUUUGGCCCAAGCUGUAGGUUCAUUCCUUCUUUACGUACCUUGAAAUGUGUAUUUUCCUGCAAUUUGUAUUACUGUUCAAAUGAUUCAGAACACCCUUACUCAAAUAGCUAGUCAUGCUCUAGAAUCUAUAAUUUGCUGAAAGUGGGUUUUGGCAACAAUUUCAUAAGGAAAAAAUACAGUGCCUGAUAGUUUAAAAGAACUGAUUCAACAAAAGGAUUAGGGGAGGGGUUCAGUAGAUUUUUGAUAAAUAGUACGUUACACUGGCUACUUGGUGUAAUAGGUUUUUAAGAUAUAUCUGAGUGUGUGAAUUAGCAGGAAUAUCAAAAAGUGGCCCAAAGCUAAUGCAGAGGACCCAUUAUUAUCAGUUACUACCUAUCAUUCAAGUUUGGGUCAAGUUCCUCAUCAAAUAUCAGGAGGAACUUCAAUUUGGAUAAAAAAUAAGGCUGUCAAAAUAUUUUUUGCUCUUCUAAUUUACUAAUUACACAUUACAUAAAAAUUCUCCUUACCUUGGCAAAAGGGAGGAGCAUAAAAAGUAGUAGCACCAAAAUCGUCAUUAUUACUCAGUCUAUUCUGUGCUAAAAUCUAUACUAUAACAUUCCUGAGUUUGAGAUUCUGAAUAAGACUAAACACCUCAGAGGUAUCUAACAAACACCUGUAAGCUGUUGAUUUAAAUGGCAUUAGAUCAAUAUAUAGUAUUUUCCUAUUAGGCUUUCCUAAAAUAUACAUAUUCCUAUUCUCUAAAGAUAUUCAUUUUUCAAAAAGCUCUUGUGUCUUUCAAUAUUGGAAAAAAAAAAAAGAGUAAAAGGAAGAGCUGAUUUUCCAAGAUAGGAAACUAAGUGGCUUCUAAUUUGUUCAGCUCAUUCUACGUCACACAUACUACUCUAGUCAAAUGGCCUCUAGACCAUUCUGCAACUGAACAGAGCAGACACAAUGCUUCAUGAAAGUGGUAACUGGGCAGCUACAAAGCACUCAGAUCCUUGUUUACUACUGUAUAUUUAAUCACACAAAUAUCACCCA